RNAcentral lists this small nucleolar RNA (232 nucleotides) under Triticum urartu. RNAcentral describes it as "Plant small nucleolar RNA U3". It matches the Rfam family "Plant small nucleolar RNA U3". From Rfam's summary of the family: Small nucleolar RNAs (snoRNAs) are involved in the processing and modification of rRNA in the nucleolus. There are two main classes of snoRNAs: the box C/D class, and the box H/ACA class. U3 snoRNA is a member of the box C/D class. The record is from Rfam by way of RNAcentral. Lineage: Eukaryota; Viridiplantae; Streptophyta; Magnoliopsida; Poales; Poaceae.
ACGACCUUACUUGAACAGGAUCUGUUCUAUAGGCUUGUACCGCUGCAUCCUUUACCAAUAACGAGGCAAGCACUUAAGUCUGGUUGAUGCAUUCUAACCUCUCUAGGCCAGAGCGUGAUUAACGGCCUGGAUUGCUCCUGAUGGGAGCAUCCAAUUGCUGUACAGGAUCGUCCCUGCCAUGCACAGGUGACACACCUGUGCAGGGUGUGACCUAGAGGUUGUCUGACAGACU